RNAcentral lists this non-coding RNA (25 nucleotides) under Mus musculus (house mouse). The record is from RNAcentral. Lineage: Eukaryota; Metazoa; Chordata; Mammalia; Rodentia; Muridae.
UGGGUGCUAAGGUUGCAGAAGGUAC